Non-coding RNA from Oncorhynchus mykiss (rainbow trout), 2060 nucleotides. The record is from the annotation of a RefSeq genome assembly. NCBI's taxonomy places the organism in Eukaryota, Metazoa, Chordata, Actinopteri, Salmoniformes, Salmonidae.
CCCCAUUCUAUUUUGUGUGUAGAAAGAACAGAUUUUUGUCUUUUUCAUUUUUCAGAUGCAAAAUGUAAUUGAAAAGACCUGUUCGUAGUCCACUAAAGAAAUGGUUUACAUCAAUUUGCCUAUUUCCUUGAAAGUCAAAUAGUUCCUCAAAUUCUAGGUUCUGCUGUUGUAGAAUAAUGCAGAUGUUUGUUUCCUAAAGUCUUAUAAAUAGAAACCCGUUCCUCAGAAAUGUACAGUCUAAGAGAAAAUGUUACAUAUUGUGGAAAUUGACCAAGUGUGACUCUUUGACAAUGUAGUAUCUAUUUAGAUUUGUUUCUACAAACCAAUGUACUUUGAAGUUAUCAAGAUCAGUUGAAACUGAUUGCUGUAAAGAGGGUGGUUUUUGUAUUGUUUGGCAUAUGCCCUUGUCACGCUGUGUAUAGCUACUUUGACUAUUGGGGGAAAGGAACAAUGGUCACAGUCUCAUCAGCAGCCACAGCCCCCCCUACUCUACUCACUCUUAUGAACUGUGGAACCCCUUCUAACGACAUCUACAGCAUCGGUUGUCUAGCUACCGGCUUUUCACCUUCCUCACUCACCUUCAAGUGGACAGACGCCAGCGGGAAAGCGCUGACGGACUUCGUCCAGUAUCCGGCAGUCCAGAGUGGGGGAGCCUACAUCGGAGUCAGUCAGGUCCGUGUGGCUAAGAACGUCUGGGAAAACUCAAAGUCUUUCAGUUGUUCUGUGGAACAUCUUGGAAGUGACCAGACAGCAGUCAUCAAUAAACCAGUCUCAAAGUCUCCAUCAGUGUCUUUGCUUUCGGGGCCCAUUGGCACCACCCAGUACCUGAUGUGUAUGAUUGAAGAUUUCACCCCCAAUAAAGUCACUGUCACCUGGAAGAAAAAUGACAAGGAGGUGGAGGGCCAGACCCCUACUGUAGGCCUACAGCCAUCAGGCCUCUACUCAGCCAGCAGUCUGCUGAAGGUCAACAAAACUGAAUGGAACAACAAGGUCAAUUACAGCUGUGUGGUGCAGCACCAGGGAAAACCCACCAUCAAGACAAUCUCCAAAACAGAACCACUGACGGUGACUCUGAACCCACCGAGUGUGAAAAAUGUGUUCAUGGACAACCAAGCAGUGCUGGACUGUGUCAUCAGUGGUACAGACCAGAACACAGUGGCUGGUACCACUAUCACCUGGCAGGUCAACGGAAAUAACGAGAUGAAAAACAUCGUUGAAUCAAAGGGCAACCUGAACAGCAGGGUCAGUACUCUGACCAUAGACCAGACAAGGUGGACCAAUGUCAACAAAGUCCAGUGUUCUGCCAUGAAGAGUGGCGAAGACACACCGGUCAUUCAGGACCUCAGCUUCACCAAAGGAAGUCGAGCCCCUUCAGUGUCCGUUCACCUUCUCCCGGAGGAAGACACCAAGAAGGAGGGGGAUGUGACUCUGGUGUGCCUGGUGGUCAGCCCGUCUCUCUGUGACGUCUACAUCAUGUGGAAGGAGGACAGCAGCGAGUACCAGGAUGGGGUCACCAGCCCUCCUCAGAAAACCCCGGAAGGCAACUACUCUGUCACCAGUGUCUUCACCGUCAAAACAAAUAAGUGGGAGGGAGACUCGGUUUUCACAUGUGCCGUCAAGCACGGCUUGGACAACAACACAGCACCUCAGGAGAGGAGUGUGUCAAAGUCCAUGGCGAACACCCUACUGACUGAGCCUGAGGCGGGCUUUGCUCUGAGCUGCACGGACAACGUUGAGGAUGAUUUCAGCAGCCUGUGGUCCACCACCUCCUCCUUUAUCGUCCUCUUUCUUCUCUCCCUCACCUACAGCACAGUACUCAGCCUGGUCAAGAUGAAGCAGUGAAGAACACAUGAUGGACUGCAGAGAUAGAUGUGUCUAAAUUAGAAAGAUGGUUAUGGCACAGUGUUCUUCAGUAAUAAUGUUAUGUAUAUAUCCAAUUCAUUAUUGAUUAUGAUUGAUUCGUUUUGUUGAUCUCAAUAUUAUGCAAGCAUUGUGGUGAUGUGUUAUUUUUCCUUCAUUGAUUUCUAUUGUACACUAUCAUUAAAUCUAAGUGUAUCCUC